GGUGCAAAUGAUGAAUCUGUUAGCGACCAAAGCCUGACUUUGCCUGAUUAGUCAUACAUGACUGACUGCACC
This is a small nucleolar RNA of Chinchilla lanigera (long-tailed chinchilla), 72 nucleotides long. Lineage: Eukaryota; Metazoa; Chordata; Mammalia; Rodentia; Chinchillidae. The record is from Ensembl.